UGGUAAUUUAGAUAUUGACGGGUCUUCUAUAAUAGAAGUAUUGUCGUCAGAUAAGGCACUAUAUCAUCUUCGCUUGAACAGGAAAUAUUUGGGACUUCCCAUUGAAUGAUUUAAUACAUUCAGUCUUCUUUCAUCCGCCUUCUUUUGAUACUGCCAUUUCUCUUUUUAAUCUCAGUUUCCCUUUUUAUGAGUUUUUUUAUCAAUAUAUUUACAAUUUUACCAGGACGCCCUUCUCUUUGU
Molecule: non-coding RNA, 240 nt
Organism: Cinara cedri
Lineage: Eukaryota; Metazoa; Arthropoda; Insecta; Hemiptera; Aphididae
Source: the annotation of a GenBank genome assembly